Molecule: ribosomal RNA, 253 nt
Filed under: uncultured bacterium
Lineage: Bacteria
Description: partial 16S ribosomal RNA
Rfam family: Bacterial small subunit ribosomal RNA
Source: RNAcentral
UACGUAGGGGGCAAGCGUUGUCCGGAUUCAUUGGGCGUAAAGAGCGUGUAGGCGGCCAGGUAGGUCGGUUGUGAAAACUGGAGGCUCAACCUUCAGAGGUCGACCGAAACCAUCUGGCUAGAGUCCGGGAGAGGAGAGUGGAAUUCCUGGUGUAGCGGUGAAAUGCGUAGAUAUCUGGAGGAACACCGGUGGCGAAGGCGGCAUCCUGGACCAAUACUGACGCUGAGGAGCGAAAGCCAGGGGAGCAAACGGG